RNAcentral lists this ribosomal RNA (1347 nucleotides) under uncultured bacterium. RNAcentral describes it as "16S ribosomal RNA". It matches the Rfam family "Bacterial small subunit ribosomal RNA", at positions 15 to 1383 of the family's 1533-position model. The record is from RNAcentral.
GAUCCUGGCUCAAGACGACCUUUGGCGGCGCGCCUAACACAUGCAAGUCGAACGAGCGAGAGAGAGCUUGCUUUCUCGAGCGAGUGGCGAACGGGUGAGUAACGCGUGAGGAACCUGCCUCAAAGAGGGGGACAACAGUUGGAAACGACUGCUAAUACCGCAUAAGCCCACGGGUCGGCAUCGACCAGAGGGAAAAGGAGCAAUCCGCUUUGAGAUGGCCUCGCGUCCGAUUAGCUAGUUGGUGAGGUAAUGGCCCACCAAGGCGACGAUCGGUAGCCGGACUGAGAGGUUGAACGGCCACAUUGGGACUGAGACACGGCCCAGACUCCUACGGGAGGCAGCAGUGGGGAAUAUUGCACAAUGGGGGGAACCCUGAUGCAGCGACGCCGCGUGGAGGAAGAAGGUCUUCGGAUUGUAAACUCCUGUUGUUGGGGAAGAUAAUGACGGUACCCAACAAGGAAGUGACGGCUAACUACGUGCCAGCAGCCGCGGUAAAACGUAGGUCACAAGCGUUGUCCGGAAUUACUGGGUGUAAAGGGAGCGCAGGCGGGAAGACAAGUUGGAAGUGAAAUCUAUGGGCUCAACCCAUAAACUGCUUUCAAAACUGUUUUUCUUGAGUAGUGCAGAGGUAGGCGGAAUUCCCGGUGUAGCGGUGGAAUGCGUAGAUAUCGGGAGGAACACCAGUGGCGAAGGCGGCCUACUGGGCACCAACUGACGCUGAGGCUCGAAAGUGUGGGUAGCAAACAGGAUUAGAUACCCUGGUAGUCCACACCGUAAACGAUGAUUACUAGGUGUUGGAGGAUUGACCCCUUCAGUGCCGCAGUUAACACAAUAAGUAAUCCACCUGGGGAGUACGACCGCAAGGUUGAAACUCAAAGGAAUUGACGGGGGCCCGCACAAGCAGUGGAGUAUGUGGUUUAAUUCGACGCAACGCGAAGAACCUUACCAAGUCUUGACAUCCCUUGACGAUGCUGGAAACAGUAUUUCUCUUCGGAGCAAGGAGACAGGUGGUGCAUGGUUGUCGUCAGCUCGUGUCGUGAGAUGUUGGGUUAAGUCCCGCAACGAGCGCAACUCUUAUGGUCAGUUACUACGCAAGAGGACUCUGGCCAGACUGCCGUUGACAAAACGGAGGAAGGUGGGGAUGACGUCAAAUCAUCAUGCCCUUUAUGACUUGGGCUACACACGUACUACAAUGGCGUUAAACAAAGAGAAGCAAGACCGCGAGGUGGAGCAAAACUCAGAAACAACGUCCCAGUUCGGACUGCAGGCUGCAACUCGCCUGCACGAAGUCGGAAUUGCUAGUAAUCGUGGAUCAGCAUGCCACGGUGAAUACGUUCCCGGGCCUUG